CCUACGGGUGGCAGCAGUGAGGAAUAUUGGUCAAUGGCCGGAAGGCUGAACCAGCCAUGCCGCGUGAAGGUCAGUGCCCUAUGGGCGUUAAACUUCUUUUGUGCGGGAGCAAUAAUGGUCACGUGUGGCCAGACGAGAGUACCGUACGAAUAAGCAUCGGCUAACUCCGUGCCAGCAGCCGCGGUAAUACGGGGGAUGCAAGCGGUAUCCGGAUUUAUUGGGUUUAAAGGGUGCGUAGGCUGUGAGGUAAGUCAGCGGUGAAAUGCCCGCGCUCAACGGGGUGAAGUGCCAUUGAUACUGCCUGGCUGGAAUGCGGAUGCCGUGGGAGGAAUGUGUGGUGUAGCGGUGAAAUGCAUAGAUAUCACACAGAACACCGAUUGCGAAGGCAUCUCACGAAUCCGCGAUUGACGCUGAUGCACGAAAGCGUGGGUAUCAAACAGGAUUAGAUACCCCAGUAGUC
Molecule: ribosomal RNA, 460 nt
Filed under: uncultured bacterium
Lineage: Bacteria
Description: partial 16S ribosomal RNA
Rfam family: Bacterial small subunit ribosomal RNA
Source: RNAcentral